UGUGGCCGUAAAGAGGCCGGGCCUUGUCGUGAAAGUGCCGCAAACACGCCCACCCCGGUGAUGGCUGCAAGUACCCCCGCAGUGGCCCGAGUAAACAGCUUCCGCUUCCGGGGUGGUGGUCUUAUUGUAGGGGUGAAGGCGAAGCCUCAGUCCUACUGUGUCAUAAAUUGGGCAGUGGGAGCAAAGUUGAGGUCAAGAGGAAAAUGAGUGCGUGCUACCUUGGCUAGGUGUUCAUGAUUUUUGAGGCUUCCCCCAACCUCCGCUGGUCAUUAGAGAAAAAUUAGAAUAACUUCAGGUUCGUCUUUGGAAAACUGAAAAGCCCCUUCCAAAGGGACAGCUGCUGGAGGUAGAGCCGCCUAGGCGCUAAGGAGGGUGGUGCUGGGGAGACCAAAGAAAAUCUGGCCCAUGGAGCAGAAUAGGGGAGGGUGAGAACACAGGGAAAGAAACGGAGAAGUGUGAAGCUGUAGGCCUUUGCCGGAAAUGCCCAGGUUCUUCUAGAAGACAGAUGCGUCGGAGGACCUAGUCUGAAAGAAGUGACAUUCUUGUGGUCUACAGGGCCCAGCUGCGUGGUUCUACAUGUCUAGAUGUUGCCGUGAAGACAUUGCUUACUGGACUCAGUGAGGCAGAGGACCCACCAUUCUGCAGGUGGGCUUCACCCCAACAAUUGACAUCCUCCAGAGAAAAGACCAAGGUUUCCAGGAGAGAGAGGAAGUCUACUCAAGACUAUGACAGACACCCUGCUUGUUUCUGGGUAGCCUGCAGAAUGCGGACUCGAGACUGUGACAUUAGUGCUUAUUCCAAUCUCGUCACUGGCCUACUCUGUGAUUUUGGACUUGCCACAUCCCCACAGUUGUAUUUCAUUUUGAGUCCAGAGAGAACUGGGCUCACAGAGGUCCCCAGCCAGCACAUGGCAACUGUGGACUUGAAACUGCUGCCACCAGGAGCCAGGGCUCCCCAGGCUUCCUUCCGAGACUCACAGGUAAAUACAGUGCUCCUGAGCAGGCUUAGAAAACCCAGCAAGACUAGAAGGCACACAUCAAGACUGAGAAGCUUGCCUUCCCCAGGCCCCCCGUUUCCCAUUCCAAGGGAAGCACUAACAGUUGCUUGUGAUUCCUUCCAGAAAAAUGUCCAUGUACCCCCAGCUUCUAGGAACCAGCAUCGCACGAGGCAUUCAGUGACACCAUUUUUAGGCUCAUAAGCACCACCCUCCAUCGUUGGCCUUGAUCUGCACCUUGUAUUUCCACCUAGCCCCUCCCAGCAAGUGCUCAGUGGCUUGAUCCUCUUGGCCUCCCGGGUCUCCACCCAUCCUUCCAGCCUCCCCCAGGGCCUCCUUUCCAAUGACACUGGAUCCACAGCACUGCCCCAGCAGUGGCUUGGAAGGUCAAUAUGACUGGGGUAGGGAGCCCAACCAAGGGAAAGGUCCUGGUGGUGCCAGGACAGGGAUGGAGGUAUCCGAAGCCAAGACUGAAGGGGUCAUGGUCAUGGUGAGGGCCAGCAUCCGGUCAGAUUCUGCAAGCCACGACAUGUUUGUGAAACUCCCCAUGCCUGGGUGAGGAAAGCCAGCAACGUUUCCCCAGGCACACGGCUGUCCGGAUCUAAACAGACCAACCGUUUCCUUCUUCCCACACUUGCCAUCCUCCACCCUGGUGCUCCAGCCACAAAUGCCUUGGCCUUUCACAUUCAACGCUUUUUCUAAUCAUCCGUCUUUCCUCUGUUAACCUGCCACUGGGUGAAUGUGUGAGUGGACUGAGGCUGAGCAGCUGUGAGACCUCAUGGUCUGCCAAGCACAGCUGAAACCGAACGCUACCCUAAGCUUCUGUGGGCAGAAGGAACAGAAGGGAUCUGUUGACACCCUCUACACAGAUAUGCUCUGCAGCGACCUCUGUUGGUUACAGGGCUGACCGGCCUGCACAUCUCACCAGCCCAAGGCACCUGCUGGGUAGCAUUUGGGGCAGGGCAGGUCAAGCCUGAGCCUCCUGAAAGAUGAGGCCUCUGGACUGUCAGGAGAGGGCUGCCCAGGGGCUGGGGGUAGCAGAGCGGUGGUGAGCUCGCCGGCAUCACCAGCAGAACUCCUUCAAAGUGCUCCCCAUUCUCCCUCACCAUCUUUACUCCUUUUAGGUAACGGAGUGCCCCAGUCAGAAGCAUCAACAUGGGCAAAGGCCCUGGGGCCAGCACGUGCUUGUCAUGGCUAGGGAACAGCAGAACAGCCUACCUGGCUGGAGCAGUGAAGCAGCCUAACAACCAGGAGCUAGAGGUGGGAAACUGCAGAAACUGAAGGUCAGAGGUGGGAAACUACAGAAGUCUGCCCAUCUUGUCCUUUGCAGUCUGUGGUCCUGACUUGGGAUUUGGUUUAAGGGAUAACUGAAUUCUCAGACAGAUGCCAGAAAGUUACUAAGGGAGAAUACCAAGGGGAAAAUGGACAGCCGGUCAUUGGAGAGUCCAACAAGCCUGCUCCAGCUGACGGCUCGAGCAUGACAGAGGACUGCUUCGUCAGGCAGGCAUAUUCUACGGGAGCACAUUAAGGAACUUCUCUGACCUUCUCGGAGUCACAGGGCGUACCAUGCAGUUCAAUCCAUGUGGGUUAGAGUGUGGGACUCAUGGGACACUGAGUGAUCAGACCAUAUACCCCGACCCCUCAGGAUGCCUCUGACUGCCCAGGAACUGCAUCAUGGGUGUCACCAGAUGACCAUGCGGGAGUACCAAAGGUGGAUUUCAUCUGCUCAGUACCUUUUGCAGCUGGGGAAUGUGUCUCAGGGCCUGUCUGGAACCCAGCCACUGUCUGCUGUCUAAACAGACUUAGUCCUAAUGCAGGACUCACGUGAAAGUCCCAGGGUAGCUGGGCCUCUCCUUAAAUUCCCAAAGCCUAGGAAGAGGCCGGACACACCUGUCUUCAAAGCUCUGCCUCGAGGGCCAGCACUGAAAUUGUCCACUGGCUGAGUGGUUUACUUGACAUGAACUGGAGACAACUGGAACGUCAAGCCCCAAGGAAGCUCAGAGAAGAGAGUGCAAAACCAUCAUCUUCUGGUGGCCCAGAGUCACAGAGCCAGCUCCUCCUCCAGAGCGAGUUCCUGGGGGUUUUGCAGCCCCUGCAUCCUCACCUGAACAAGGAGGACAAUAAAAUGACCUCUCAAAUUUCUGAAAAUUAGAUAAUGUGUAUGUUCAGUACCAAACCCCAAGUAGCUUCUAAUAGACUUUUGUUUUCUCAUUCCAGACGUCCAAUGUGCUGCCUGCCCCUGGACAGGAGCUGUAGGAACAUGGCUGUGGGCCGACAGCACAGAUGGGACACUUUCGGGUCCUUGAGUGAUUUUAGAAUUGGAUCUGUUCCACCCCAUUUGCAUCCCAGAGACUGACUUUAUUCCUCAGGAGUUUGAUGCAAGCAAAGAUAAUACUAACCACUGCCAGUUAGAAAGGGAAAUGGAUUUUAAGAUGUAAAUAAAAGGAUGUUUGCCUUAACAAAGACCUCACAUUCAAAAACUGGGGACUCCCAAGAAUCCACCCCCCAUUUUCACCACUACCCCUCUCCAUUUGACACUGCUGCUGUCACCCAUGGUCCAGCCUGCGGGGACAGCCAGGACAGGGGCCUCAGAAACUGCGGCUCCUAUGGAAGGGGUGUGCAGUCCUCAGCCCCAGCAAUCCCAGCUCUGUGCAGCUGCACCCACGGUGCUCCUGGCAUCAUUAAUUGGUUAAGCCAGAGCACAACAUACAGUUGUCCUUCUAAUAAAGGACUCCAGACUUGGGGGGCUGGUCCCACAGGCCAUUGGCUGUUGCAAUUCCAACGGUGACAAACAUCAUGAGCAACCAAAUGAAGCAGAGGCAGGGAGGUAGGCCAGGUCCUCUGUUCUCCCCUGCACAAUCAUGGAGGUGGGAUCUCUACCCUCGCCUCACAGGCCUUGCCUCGUCCACCUUCCACAACCACACGCGAGUUUCCUAAACCACAGUGUUGUUGACCUGCUCAAGCCUUUCCAGCUAACCACCACUACCUCAGAGGCCUGUCCUACUUGAAUCGUGGUACCUUGACCAGCACAGGCAUCAUGUGGGCGCUUGUAAGAAAUACAUGACAUUAGGUCCUUUACAGGACUAGAAGCUGCAUUUUGAAAUGACCCCGGAGUUUCAGAGGCACUUUACAUUUGAACAGUGCUGCUUUAGGGGCUCGGUACAGAGCCAGAAGCAGCCCCAACUGUUGAGACUUUUUUUAGCGAGUGGUAGGUCAUUUCAAAAACUUAAAAAUAUAUUUUUUCUUGUCACACAUUCAAAAACAUUUGACUAUUCAGAAUAUACCAGUAUAUCUCCUGGUAUGAAGAACUGAGAGCACAUCCAGGUGCAGCCCAGAGCACGAAGACCCCAGGUGGAGAAGCAGGGAAACACAGGAUCAAGUUUAAACUCUUCCAAGUCACACGCAGAUGGCUACAAGCAUGCCUCCUACCUCCCGCUCCCUGCAAAACCCCACAACUCUCCUCUAUCAUGUCACAUUUCUACCUACUGACAGGCUCCCAGGGUGGGUUCCAGAACACUUGUUCCCUGUGCCUGGGGUGCUGUUCAGGGCUGAGCUCACAGUUCUGGGUCCAGACCAGGAGGCACUGGGUCUGAAGAGCUUUCUCACACCCCCAAUGCUCAGUGGACUCCCUCUUCAGCGCUCCCACCACAGUAAAAACACAGGGUACAACAUCUCCUGGGCCACCUGCAGCAGGCCUGGGACCACAAACCAUAUCAUUACUAGGGCCACCUUUCACUUUCAAAACUGCCCCAGGGGAUCCCUGGGUGGCGCAGCGGUUUGGCGCCUGCC
Long non-coding RNA from Canis lupus familiaris (dog), 4783 nucleotides. RefSeq lists it as uncharacterized. The record is from RefSeq and is a predicted model, not a curated record. NCBI's taxonomy places the organism in Eukaryota, Metazoa, Chordata, Mammalia, Carnivora, Canidae. The transcript is spliced from 5 exons.